AUUGAACGCUGGCGGCAUGCUUUACGCAUGCAAGUCGAACGGCAACGAGGAGAAGCUUGCUUCUCUGUCGGCGAGUGGCGAACGGGUGAGUAUAGCAUCGGAACGUGCCAAGUAGUGGGGGAUAACCAAACGAAAGUUUGGCUAAUACCGCGUAAGCUCCAAGGAGGAAAGUAGGGGACCUAAAUAAGGCCUUACGCUAUUUGAUCGGCCGAUGUCGGAUUAGCUAGUUGGUGGGGUAAUGGCUCACCAAGGCAAUGAUCCGUAGCGGGUCUGAGAGGACGAUCCGCCACACUGGGACUGAGACACGGCCCAGACUCCUACGGGAGGCAGCAGUGGGGAAUUUUGGACAAUGGGGGAAACCCUGAUCCAGCCAUGCCGCGUGUAUGAAGAAGGCCUUAGGGUUGUAAAGUACUUUUGUUAGGGAAGAAAAGCUAGUUUUUAAUAAAAAUUAGUGAUGACGGUACCUAAAGAAUAAGCACCGGCUAACUACGUG
This 493-nucleotide ribosomal RNA is filed under the name uncultured bacterium. RNAcentral's name for it is "partial 16S ribosomal RNA". It matches the Rfam family "Bacterial small subunit ribosomal RNA", at positions 30 to 507 of the family's 1533-position model. The record is from RNAcentral.